Molecule: non-coding RNA, 30 nt
Filed under: Rattus norvegicus (Norway rat)
Lineage: Eukaryota; Metazoa; Chordata; Mammalia; Rodentia; Muridae
Source: RNAcentral
UUCCUGGGACUCUUGUGUCUGAUGAUAGAC